UACGUAGGUGGCAAGCGUUGUCCGGAAUUAUUGGGCGUAAAGCGCGCGCAGGCGGUCCUUUAAGUCUGAUGUGAAAGCCCACGGCUCAACCGUGGAGGGUCAUUGGAAACUGGGGGACUUGAGUGCAGAAGAGGAAAGCGGAAUUCCACGUGUAGCGGUGAAAUGCGUAGAGAUGUGGAGGAACACCAGUGGCGAAGGCGGCUUUCUGGUCUGUAACUGACGCUGGGGUGCGAAAGCGUGGGGAGCAAACAGG
RNAcentral lists this ribosomal RNA (253 nucleotides) under uncultured bacterium. Its description in RNAcentral is "partial 16S ribosomal RNA". It matches the Rfam family "Bacterial small subunit ribosomal RNA", at positions 524 to 776 of the family's 1533-position model. The record is from RNAcentral.